This 804-nucleotide long non-coding RNA is filed under the name Salarias fasciatus (jewelled blenny). RNAcentral's name for it is "lncRNA (ENSSFAG00005019287.1)". The record is from RNAcentral. Lineage: Eukaryota; Metazoa; Chordata; Actinopteri; Blenniiformes; Blenniidae.
CUGUGCUUCAUGUCUCAGCAGGGUCCCUGUCUUUCUGAUCCAGAAAGGAAACAUUCUUUAGAGCAUCAAAGUGAGGAACUGGAUUCAGUUGAAUUUUCACAAUCCGGACAGGGAUUGUUGGAGGUUCAAAUAAAGACUUCCACAAAAUCACAGUGUAAAGACAAGAAGUCAGAAGGCAACAAACACAGGCCUGAGAAAAAAAAGAAAGGAAAUGUAAACAAAGGCAAGGGAAAUCCCCAGAACAACAGAGGUUCUUGCAAGAAUCACUGCGGAAUUCCAUCUCAUAGAAAGCUGGGUGUUUCAAACGCCAGAUGCUGCAUGAACAACAUCACCAACACUCUGAAAAAAGGGAACCGUGAUGACGUCAUUGGUGCUAUUGAGUCUUUGGAGCAAGUUCUGGAGAGAACAGACGUCAACGAGACGACGCCGAUGUCCAGCGACAACGUGGUGGCGCUUCUGCACAAACACCGAGGCCGCUUCCACGGUCUCCGAAUCUCUGCCAGCGACAGUGAGGCGAUGCCUAGCCGAGCGGUCGCAAACAGCCGAGUGAGCGUCUGGCUGCCGGCGGAGCUGAACCCGACGCCGAACGACACCAUCGUGUUCUGCAUGCUGAACGUGAGCGAAGGGUCUUUAGGUGGAUCCACGAGGCUGUACGACAGCAGACUGGUCGGCCUGAGUCUGGGGAGGACCGUUUCAGGACUCCAGGAGCGUGUAAACAUCAGCAUGACGCUGACCACCAGCAUCAGCGUAACUACGACUUCUUCUCUUACCUUCUGCAACCUUUAUGGGAUAAAACAAACAUAA